AUGGCUAUGUUCGCGACGUCGACGGCGGCAGUGUUGGGAUCGGCUCGCCCAGGGCGGGCGGCCGAGCCUCGAUGGUGCGUGGUGGCGCGGGCGUCCUCGACGAUGGCGGCGCCGGCAGCGGUGGCCAUUGGGAGGACGCACUACGAGGUGCUCGGGGUGGGCGUGGGAGCCAGCAGGGGGGAGAUCAAGGCGGCGUACCGGCGUCUGGCCAGGGAGGUGCAUCCGGACGCUGCUGGUGGUGGGGGCGACGAGGGGUUCAUCCGGCUGCACGCGGCCUACGCCACGCUCGUUGACCCCGACGAGCGCGCUCGCUACGACCGGGACGUGGCUUGGCGCGCCGCGGGGAUGAUGACGCGGCGGGCGGCCGCGGCUGGGCCGUCGUUCCGGCGGAGGACGUGGGAGACCGACCAGUGCUGGUAG
Molecule: ribosomal RNA, 420 nt
Filed under: Triticum aestivum (bread wheat)
Lineage: Eukaryota; Viridiplantae; Streptophyta; Magnoliopsida; Poales; Poaceae
Description: partial small subunit ribosomal RNA
Source: RNAcentral